Molecule: ribosomal RNA, 729 nt
Filed under: uncultured soil bacterium
Lineage: Bacteria
Description: bacterial SSU rRNA
Rfam family: Bacterial small subunit ribosomal RNA
Source: RNAcentral
GCGGCGGGCCUAAUACAUGCAAGUCGAGGGGCAGCACGGGUAGCAAUAUCUGGUGGCGACCGGCGCACGGGUGCGUAACGCGUAUGCAAUUUGCCCAUAACUGGGGGAUAGCCUUCCGGAAGGGAGAUUAAUACCCCAUAACAUUGCGAGGUGGCAUCAUCUUGCAAUUAAAACUCCGGUGGUUAUGGAUGAGCAUGCGUGUCAUUAGCUAGUUGGUGAGGUAACGGCUCACCAAGGCUACGAUGACUAGGGGAUCUGAGAGGAUUAACCCCCACACUGGUACUGAGACACGGACCAGACUCCUACGGGAGGCAGCAGUAAGGAAUAUUGGACAAUGGUCGAAAGACUGAUCCAGCCAUGCCGCGUGCAGGAUGAAGGCCCUCUGGGUCGUAAACUGCUUUUAUAUGGGAAAAAACGCUUGUUCGUGAACGAGCCUGAUGGUACCAUAUGAAUAAGCAUCGGCUAACUUCGUGCCAGCAGCCGCGGUAAUACGAAGGAUGCAAGCGUUAUCCGGAUUUAUUGGGUUUAAAGGGUGCGUAGGCGGGCUAAUAAGUCAGUGGUGAAAGCUCACGGCUCAACCGUGAAAUUGCCAUUGAUACUGUUAGUCUUGAGUAUGGUUGAAGUUGGCGGAAUGUGCAGUGUAGCGGUGAAAUGCUUAGAUAUUGCACAGAACACCGAUUGCGAAGGCAGCUAGCUAAGCCAUAACUGACGCUGAGGCACGAAAGCAUG